This is a small nuclear RNA of Perognathus longimembris pacificus (Pacific pocket mouse), 102 nucleotides long. The record is from RefSeq and is a predicted model, not a curated record. Lineage: Eukaryota; Metazoa; Chordata; Mammalia; Rodentia; Heteromyidae.
GCUCACUUUGGCAGCACAUAUACCAAAACUGGAAUGAUACAGAGAUUACCAAGGUCCCUGCACAUGGAUAACACCCAAAUUUAUGAAGCAUUCAUAUUUUUA